Molecule: ribosomal RNA, 467 nt
Filed under: uncultured bacterium
Lineage: Bacteria
Description: partial 16S ribosomal RNA
Rfam family: Bacterial small subunit ribosomal RNA
Source: RNAcentral
ACGAACGCUGGCGGCGUGCUUAACACAUGCCAGUCGCACGGAAAGGCCCUGCUUUUGUGGGGUGCUCGAGUGGCGAACGGGUGAGUAACACGUGAGUAACCUGCCCUUGACUUUGGGAUAACUUCAGGAAACUGGGGCUAAUACCGGAUAGGAGCUCCUGUUGCAUGGUGGGGGUUGGAAAGUUUCGGCGGUUGGGGAUGGACUCGCGGCUUAUCAGCUUGUUGGUGGGGUAGUGGCUUACCAAGGCUUUGACGGGUAGCCGGCCUGAGAGGGUGACCGGCCACAUUGGGACUGAGAUACGGCCCAGACUCCUACGGGAGGCAGCAGUGGGGAAUAUUGCACAAUGGGCGGAAGCCUGAUGCAGCAACGCCGCGUGCGGGAUGACGGCCUUCGGGUUGUAAACCGCUUUCGCCUGUGACGAAGCGUGAGUGACGGUAAUGGGUAAAGAAGCACCGGCUAACUACGUG